RNAcentral lists this ribosomal RNA (467 nucleotides) under uncultured bacterium. RNAcentral's name for it is "partial 16S ribosomal RNA". It matches the Rfam family "Bacterial small subunit ribosomal RNA", at positions 28 to 507 of the family's 1533-position model. The record is from RNAcentral.
GAUGAACGCUGGCGGCGCGCCUAACACAUGCAAGUCGAACGAUUAAAGCCCCUUCGGGUGUGUAUAAAGUGGCGAACGGCUGAGUAACACGUGGGCAACCUGCCCCUCUCAUUGGGAUAGCCCCGGGAAACCGUGGAUAAUACCGAAUACUUCGGGACUUCCGCAUGGAAGACUCGAGAAAGCUCCGGCGGAGAGGGAUGGGCCCGCGGCCUGUUAGCUUGUUGGUGGGGUAAUGGCCUACCAAGGCAAUGAUGGGUAGCUGGGUUGAGAGACCGACCAGCCAGAUUGGGACUGAGACACGGCCCAGACUCCUACGGGAGGCAGCAGUGGGGAGUAUUGCACAAUGGGCGAAAGCCUGAUGCAGCGACGCCGCGUGCGGGAUGAAGGCCUUCGGGUUGUAAACCGCUUUCAGCAGGGACGAGGCGAAAGUGACGGUACCGGCAGAAGAAGCCCCGGCUAACUACGUG